RNAcentral lists this ribosomal RNA (1313 nucleotides) under uncultured fungus. Its description in RNAcentral is "eukaryotic LSU rRNA". The stretch from base 685 to 1313 matches the Rfam family "Eukaryotic large subunit ribosomal RNA", at positions 1 to 649 of the family's 3401-position model. The record is from RNAcentral. Lineage: Eukaryota; Fungi.
AAGUCGUAACAAGGUUUCCGUAGGUUGUGUAGGUUUGCCUACGUCGUUAGUCUAUUGAAUAGGCAACAUCUCUACCGUGCUAGAAAUCACCGGUUGUGGUACUAGCAGCUCAUGUAAAUGAGUUCACAGGUCAAAUAGAGGUGGCCCCCUAGAGGGUUAAGAUAUGAUCGAGCAGUAGUUUUUGUGAGCUGCCUCAGAAGUGGAACCUGCGGAAGGAUCAUUAAGAGAACAUGCCCUCACGGGUAUAUCUCCCACCCUGUGUCUACACUACUUUUGUUGCCUUGGCGGGCCUGUCUUAUGACUGCUGGCAUCUGCUGGUUUGUGCCCGCCAGAGGACCUAAACUCAUUUACCAUGUCGUCAGAGUGUCAUAUAAUAAGUUAAAACUUUCAACAACGGAUCUCUUGGUUCUGGCAUCGAUGAAGAACGCAGCGAAAUGCGAUAAGUAAUGUGAAUUGCAGAAUUCAGUGAAUCAUCGAAUCUUUGAACGCACAUUGCACCCUCUGGUAUUCCGGGGGGUAUGCCUGUUCGAGCGUCAUUGCAACCCCCAAGCACUGCUUGGUAUUGGAUGUCACCGCUGUGGUGUGUCUCAAAAGCAUUAGCAGUGGCAGUUGGCUUCUCGCGUAGUAAUUCUCUCGCUUUGGAGUACAUCUGUCUUACCGCCGAAACUAUUCAUUUUCAAAGGUUGACCUCGGAUCAGGUAGGGAUACCCGCUGAACUUAAGCAUAUCAAUAAGCGGAGGAAAAGAAACCAACAGGGAUUGCUCAGUAACGGCGAGUGAAGCGGCAACAGCUCAAAUUUGAAAUCUGGCCUCACGGUCCGAGUUGUAAUUUGUAGAGGAUGCUUCGAGCGUGGUCUGGUCUAAGUUCCUUGGAACAGGACGUCAUAGAGGGUGAGAAUCCCGUAUGCGACUGGGUGCCUAAGCUCAUGUGAAGCUCCUUCGACGAGUCGAGUUGUUUGGGAAUGCAGCUCAAAAUGGGUGGUAAAUUUCAUCUAAAGCUAAAUAUUGGCCAGAGACCGAUAGCGCACAAGUAGAGUGAUCGAAAGAUGAAAAGCACUUUGGAAAGAGAGUUAAACAGUACGUGAAAUUGUUGAAAGGGAAGCGCUUGCAACCAGACUUGUGUGCAGUCGAUCAUCCGAUGUUUUCACCGGUGCACUCGAUUGCAUUCAGGCCAGCAUUGGUUUUGGUGGUUGGAUAAAGGCCUUGGGAAUGUAGCUUCUCUCGGGGAGUGUUAUAGCCCUUGGUGCAAUGCAGCCUACUGGGACUGAGGACCGCGCUUCGGCUAGGAUGCUGGCGUAAUGGUUGUAAGCGACC